This 492-nucleotide ribosomal RNA is filed under the name uncultured bacterium. RNAcentral describes it as "partial 16S ribosomal RNA". It matches the Rfam family "Bacterial small subunit ribosomal RNA", at positions 29 to 507 of the family's 1533-position model. The record is from RNAcentral.
AGUGAACGCUGGCGGUAGGCCUAACACAUGCAAGUCGAACGGCAGCACAGUAAGAGCUUGCUCUUACGGGUGGCGAGUGGCGGACGGGUGAGGAAUACAUCGGAAUCUACUUUUUCGUGGGGGAUAACGUAGGGAAACUUACGCUAAUACCGCAUACGACCUACGGGUGAAAGCAGGGGAUCUUCGGACCUUUCGCGAUUGAAUGAGCCGAUGUCGGAUUAGCUAGUUGGCGGGGUAAAGGCCCACCAAGGCGACGAUCCGUAGCUGGUCUGAGAGGAUGAUCAGCCACACUGGAACUGAGACACGGUCCAGACUCCUACGGGAGGCAGCAGUGGGGAAUAUUGGACAAUAGGCGCAAGCCUGAUCCAGCCAUACCGCGUGGGUGAAGAAGGCCUUCGGGUUGUAAAGCCCUUUUGUUGGGAAAGAAAAGCAGCAGGUUAAUCCCCCGCUGUUCUGACGGUACCCAAAGAAUAAGCACCGGCUAACUUCGUG